UACGUAGGGGGCGAGCGUUGUCCGGAUUUAUUGGGCGUAAAGAGCGUGUAGGCGGCCAGGUAGGUCUGCUGUGAAAACUCGAGGCUCAACCUCGAGACGUCGGCGGAAACCAUCUGGCUAGAGUCCGGAAGAGGAGAGUGGAAUUCCUGGUGUAGCGGUGGAAUGCGCAGAUAUCAGGAGGAAUACCCAUAGCGAAGGCAGCUCGCUGGGACGUUACUGACGCUGAGGCGCGAAAGCGUGGGGAGCGAACAGG
Molecule: ribosomal RNA, 253 nt
Filed under: uncultured bacterium
Lineage: Bacteria
Description: partial 16S ribosomal RNA
Rfam family: Bacterial small subunit ribosomal RNA
Source: RNAcentral